Molecule: ribosomal RNA, 451 nt
Filed under: uncultured bacterium
Lineage: Bacteria
Description: partial 16S ribosomal RNA
Rfam family: Bacterial small subunit ribosomal RNA
Source: RNAcentral
GUGGGGAAUCUUCCGCAAUGGGCGAAAGCCUGACGGAGCAACGCCGCGUGAGUGAAGAAGGCCUUCGGGUCGUAAAGCUCUGUCUUUAGGGACGAACAACUGUGGUGUAAAUAAUGCCAUGGUCUGACGGUACCUAAGGAGGAAGCUCCGGCUAACUACGUGCCAGCAGCCGCGGUAAUACGUAGGGAGCGAGCGUUGUCCGGAAUUACUGGGCGUAAAGGGCGCGUAGGCGGGAACUCAAGUCAGGUGUGAAAACUAUGGGCUUAACCCAUAGACUGCACUUGAAACUGGGUUUCUUGAGGGCAGGAGAGGAAAGUGGAAUUCCUAGUGUAGCGGUGAAAUGCGUAGAUAUUAGGAGGAACACCAGUGGCGAAGGCGACUUUCUGGACUGUACCUGACGCUGAGGCGCGAAAGCGUGGGGAGCGAACAGGAUUAGAAACCCGUGUAGUCC